UCUCUCUCUCUCUCUCUGACACACACAACAACUGUUACCAUGCGGAGCAAGCCUGGUUCACUUCUAUUUCCACAAUCUCUUCUUGUUCUUUUCUUUGUCUCCAUUCUUGCUCUUUCCUCUAUGCUUUUAAGCUUCCCCAUUUGACUACUACAGUAAUUACAUGGCUUUCUUGAGGUUGGGCUCUAAAUCUGAAGCUUUUCAUCGUGAAGGCCGAACCUGGCUUUGCACAACUGGGCUUCAAAGUGAUGUCACUAUUGAGAUUGGAGAAAUGGCUUUCAAUCUCCUCAAGGUGCAUUUAUUUGGUUCUGCCCAACCUUUAAAUAGUUAGUAUGUGAACUUUUCUAUUGACUUUUGAUGCCACCCAUCCUACCAACUUAUCCCAAAACCAAACGAGAAAGAUAAGCACUAAUUAUCUAAUGGAUGCAGUUUCCGUUGCUUUCAAGAAGUGGACUAUUGGAGAAGCGUAUUGAAGAACUUUCUUGCGAGAAUGGUUCUAUUCUUGUCUUGAAACUUGAUGGCAUACCUGGUGGUGCUAAAGCGUUUGAGCUUAUAAGCAAAUUCUGCUAUGGUGUGAAAUUAGCGCUCACUGCUGUGAAUGUAGUCUGACUUAGAUGUGCAGCUGAGUACCUCCACAUGACUGAAGAUCACGGAGAAGGAAAUCUCAUUGCUCAGACUGAGGCUUUCCUUAAUGAACUCUUCAGCUAUUGGGAAGACUCUCUAAAAGCUCUAGAAGCGUGUGAAGAAGUUCUACCUUAGCUGAAGAACUUCACAUUGUCUCAAGGUGCAUUGAUUCCUUGGCAAUGAAAGCUUGUGCAGACCCAAAAGUAUAUAAUUUGCCUUUGUCAGGACAAACUAACUCUCAGAAUGAGGGAAGUGUAAUAGUAUGGAAUGGCAUAUCUGUUGCAACUAAACCAGAGCCCAUGGGUGAUGAUUGGUGGUUUCAAGAUGUCUCAUUCCUCAAAUUACCAUUAUAAAAUCGAUUGAUUUUAGCUAUUGAAUCAAGGGGAAUGAAGCCCGAGACUGUUGCUGCAUCUCUUAGACACUAUGCUAAGAAGUAUCUUCCCUUGAUGAAUGAGCAAUCAAGCUUCAACAACAUCACUCAUGUCAACCCUGGGACAACUGUUUCAUUCCCUACUGAGGCUGACCAAAGAAUUCUCCUUGAAGAGAUUGUGAAUUUAUUCCCUAAUAAGAAGGGAGUCACUUCAUCCAAGUUUCUCCUUAGGCUGCUUCGCACUGCUAUGUUAUUGCAUGCUGGUUCAUCAUGCAGAGAAAAUUUGGAGAAAAGGAUGGGAGCUCAGUUGGACCAAGCUGUACUUGUAGAUCUUCUCAUACCAAAUAUUGGUUACUCAGUGGAGACCCUUUAUGACAUAGUUUGUGUUCAGAGGAUUCUUGAUCAUUUUGUGUCAUUACACCAAGAAACAGCUUUAUCAACUUCCCCUUGCAUAGUUGAAGAGGGCCAGUUUCUGGACGGGACAGAUGCAUUAACACCAAUAACAAUGGUGGCCAAUCUGCUGGAUGGAUUUCUUGCUGAGGUAGCACCAGAUGUUAAUUUGAAGCUCCCAAAAUUUGAGUUGCUUGCUGCUACCAUCCCUGAUUAUGCCAGGCCACUCGAUGAUGGAGUUUAUCAUGCUAUUGAUGUGUAUCUGAAGGCACAUCCUUGGCUUACAGAUAUAGAGAGGGAGCAACUUUGCAGAUUGAUGAACUGCCAGAAGCUCUCACUAGAAGCUAGCAUCCAUGCAGCACAGAAUGAGAGGCUACCUCUUAGAGUAAUUGUCCAAGUCCUCUUCUUUGAACAACUUCGGCUCCGUACAUCAAUUUCUGGUUGGUUUUUUGUCUCUGAGAAUUUGGAGAACUCACAAAAUCCUAGUGGAAACCUAGGGCUUCCCAAAAAGGAUGGUUCCUGUCCAGUGGACUCUGCACAAGACCAUGCUGUGGGUGAUGACAUGAGGGAGCACGCAUCUGAGCUUGAAAAAGAGUGUUCAAACAUGAAGGAAGAGCUUCAGAAGCUUGUAAAGACGAAGAGAAAAUGGAAAAUAUUUUCUAAGAAAUUUAGUUUUAGACAGAAACUACAACCCUGCAAUUCAAAAAAAUGGUGCGAUUUAAAGGAACCAGAAUCAUCUAAUGAAUCGGCAACUGAAUCAUGAGAACAAUGAUAUGGCUCAAUAAAAUUCCAAAUUCAAACUAACUGGACAACAGUGUCAUUCUACAUUUCUUUAUCUUUGUUUUUUGAAUGCCAUAAAAAUGUGAUUCUUUUCCUGUGGAUUACAGAACAAUCAUAUUCCCGUAUUGUUUGAGGAGUUACGUUUUAGUUCAAUCCUUCUCUUAUCAGUUCAUUGACUUGCAAACAAGCCCAUAUUUUUUAUGUUUAAUUUGUUUCAUUUGUACCUCUGCUCAUGAAAGGAAUUAAUAAGUAGCCUUUGGGUUGGUCUUUCUGUAUCAACUUCUAUGCUUGCUGUGUUCUUGGCUCUUUGAACCCUUUUUACCUUUUUUCUGUUUUUAAUUUAGUAGCAGAUGACUCUUGAUUUAUAUGACUUUCAUUAUGAUAUAGGUAAUUUACUGGUUAAUAUAUUAUCUUACUUUGCCUCAGGUGGUUGGAGCUUUGAAGAUUAGUCUUAUUUGUAUCAUUUGGAUGGCAGAGGUUUUAUAGAUAGUCCUUGAAACAAUCUCAAUCCAUUAAAAUUGAGGCAGGUUGCUUUCUUAAAGAAUAAGCUUCUGUGGAGAAGCGUAUUACAGAAUAACAAAAACAGAAUAGAUGUGGGGAAAAGGGGACAAAAAAGAAAGGGAAUCUCUGUCAAGAAAAUGAGUCGUUGUUUUGCACACCUAGCAGGGUGGGAGGUCUGCUGGUAGUGGUAGAAUAUAUUUUCUGGCAACUUUACAUGCUCAACAAUGAAGGCCAUCUUUAACCCCCACAUGGUUUUGAGUUCCAGGUGACGGUGCAUGAAUCAAACACCAUGUAGAAGCAUGAUUGUCAUUACACAUUAUAAUUUACAAUGUAUCUAUUAUAUACUUACCGAACAAUUUCUUGUUGCCUGGGUUAUUGGCUCUGAACCUUAUAGCAGUUCCAACUGGUUUACUCUCUGGAGGAUCAGUCUUUUGCAGGAUCAAAGUCAAGAAUCCCACUCCCAACAACAAAAGCAUGCUUGGAAAUCAUUUAUAUACCACCCCCAACAACAAAAGUAUAUGAAGC
This 3187-nucleotide unclassified non-coding RNA is filed under the name Hevea brasiliensis (rubber tree). The record is from RNAcentral. Lineage: Eukaryota; Viridiplantae; Streptophyta; Magnoliopsida; Malpighiales; Euphorbiaceae.